CUACGGGAGGCAGCAGUGAGGAAUAUUGCGCAAUGGGGGAAACCCUGACGCAGCGACGCCGCGUGGAUGAUGAAGGCCUUCGGGUCGUAAAAUCCUGUCAGAAGGAAAGAAGUAUAUGGUAGCUAAUAUCUGCCAUAUUUGACGGUACCCUCAAAGGAAGCACCGGCUAACUCCGUGCCAGCAGCCGCGGUAAUACGGAGGGUGCACGCGUUGUUCGGAAUUACUGGGCGUAAAGCGCGCGUAGGCGGCUGUUUAAGUCAGAUGUGAAAGCCCAUGGCUUAACCAUGGACGUGCAUUUGAUACUGGGCAGCUUGAGUACUGGAGGGGGUGGUGGAAUUCCCGGUGUAGAGGUGAAAUUCGUAGAUAUCGGGAGGAAUACCGGUGGCGAAGGCGACCACCUGGCCAGAUACUGACGCUGAGGUGCGAAAGCGUGGGGAGCAAACAGGAUUAGAUACCCGUGUAGUC
RNAcentral lists this ribosomal RNA (465 nucleotides) under uncultured bacterium. RNAcentral's name for it is "partial 16S ribosomal RNA". It matches the Rfam family "Bacterial small subunit ribosomal RNA", at positions 339 to 795 of the family's 1533-position model. The record is from RNAcentral.